GGAGAGACGGAGGCCAGCGCGGGGAGCGGAAGCCGGAGCCUGUCGGGAGCGACCCCGGGAAGGCCAGUCCCUCCUGCCGGAGGGAGGCGUGUUGGCGUGCGGCCGGUGGCGGGAUCGAUGGCCACCUGGUAGGCGAUGCUGCUGCGGCGGAGAGACGGAGGCCAGCGCGGGGAGCGGAAGCCGGAGCCUGUCGGGAGCGACCCCGGGAAGGCCAGUCCCUCCUGCCGGAGGGAGGCGUGUUGGCGUGCGGCCGGUGGCGG
Molecule: long non-coding RNA, 260 nt
Filed under: Sus scrofa (pig)
Lineage: Eukaryota; Metazoa; Chordata; Mammalia; Artiodactyla; Suidae
Description: lncRNA (ENSSSCG00070006275.1)
Source: RNAcentral